UACGAAGGGAGCUAGCGUUGUUCGGAAUCACUGGGCGUAAAGCGCACGUAGGCGGAUUUGUAAGUCAGGGGUGAAAUCCCGGGGCUCAACCUCGGAACUGCCUUUGAUACUGCAAAUCUCGAGUCCGAUAGAGGUGGGUGGAAUUCCUAGUGUAGAGGUGAAAUUCGUAGAUAUUGGGAGGAACACCGGUGGCGAAGGCGGCUACCUGGACCGGUACUGACGCUGAGGCGCGAAAGCUAGGGUAGCAAACAGG
This 253-nucleotide ribosomal RNA is filed under the name uncultured bacterium. RNAcentral's name for it is "partial 16S ribosomal RNA". It matches the Rfam family "Bacterial small subunit ribosomal RNA", at positions 524 to 776 of the family's 1533-position model. The record is from RNAcentral.